Molecule: non-coding RNA, 129 nt
Organism: Canis lupus familiaris (dog)
Lineage: Eukaryota; Metazoa; Chordata; Mammalia; Carnivora; Canidae
Source: RefSeq, marked provisional
ACCUCUGAGGCCGUUUAGGUAGCUCGCGGAACUCCUGCGGUCGAUGCGAGGCCCCGGCUUUGGAGCUGGGGACGCGAAAAUGAGUGUUAGUCGUGGCUGCUGGCUUCGAGGAACCCCCGUCCUAGCCGA